RNAcentral lists this ribosomal RNA (301 nucleotides) under uncultured bacterium. Its description in RNAcentral is "partial 16S ribosomal RNA". It matches the Rfam family "Bacterial small subunit ribosomal RNA", at positions 509 to 807 of the family's 1533-position model. The record is from RNAcentral.
CAGUAGCCGCGGGAAUGCGUAGGGGGCAAGCGUUAUCCGGAAUUACUGGGUGUAAAGGGAGCGUAGACGGUUAAACAAGUCUGAAGUGAAAUGCCGGGGCUCAACCCCGGAGCUGCUUUGGGAACUGUAGAACUGGAGUGUCGGAGUGGUAAGCGGAAUUCCCAGUGUAGCGGUGAAAUGCGUAGAUAUUGGGAGGAACACCGGCGGCGAAGGCGGCUUACUGGACGACAACUGACGUUGAGGCUCGAAGGCGUGGGUAGCAAACAGGAUUAGAUACCCGCGUAGUCCCUGUCUCUUAUAC